ACCAGCUUCAUUUGCACGGUUUCACAAUAUUGCGACUCCAUGGUGGCGCCGCUGGUAGGCGGAGACACAGCAAGUUGAGAAUUUCUACAGCUUCUGGCUGUGCCGGCUUCGAUUUGUACCCGAACUGUCUCGUGUUUUUUGGAUUAGCAUUUUCUGAGAGGUAAUCGGAAGAGAUGAUACUGGUGGCGAUCGUGGCGGAGGUGCUAGAGGAGUACACGGCGGUGCUGGCGAGGGUCGUGGAGCAAGUAUUCCGCUCUGCCCCUGUUCCUCGGCGGGUUCGUUUCCUCAUCCUCCAUAGUCUUCCAUUUACUUCUUCUCGCCCUGGGCUUCUGGCUCCUGCGCCGCACUGACUCGAUUCUUUCUUUGAAUUCGAUGUAGAGCUUCUAAAUUUUGUUUUGUUGAAGCGUGUUUGACAAUAUCGUGUCGCUUGUUCGUGCUUUUUUCUUCUCGAUUUUCUCCUCCAUUUUUCUUUCUUUUUUCUUUUGCUUGAUUUUUUUCGAGUUUCUCUUUUCGAUCUGUGUAUAUUGUCUCUCCCCAGGUUUGUAUAAAUAUGUUGGUUUUGGCCUCGAUCACAGAUGCUCUUUGGUUAAGAUUUUCAGUGAUUCUACAGUAACUCUGUUCUGUUCAUUCCCCUGCCCUUGUUUGCGAUGAAUUGGACCUAGAAUCUGAAGCAGCUUCUUGAUAAUUUUCUGGUGAUGCGAAGAUGAUUAAUUGAUAA
Neltuma alba is the source of this 718-nucleotide long non-coding RNA. RefSeq lists it as uncharacterized. The transcript has 2 exons. The record is from RefSeq and is a predicted model, not a curated record. NCBI's taxonomy places the organism in Eukaryota, Viridiplantae, Streptophyta, Magnoliopsida, Fabales, Fabaceae.